CACGUAGGGCGCAAGCGUUGUCCGGAAUUACUGGGUUUAAAGGGUGCGUAGGUGGGCCUGUAAGUCAGUGGUGAAAUCUUCAAGCUUAACUUGGAAACUGCCAUUGAUACUAUAGGUCUUGAAUUAUCUGGAGGUAAGCGGAAUAUGUCAUGUAGCGGUGAAAUGCUUAGAGAUGACAUAGAACACCCAUUGCGAAGGCAGCUUACUACGGAUUGAUUGACACUGAGGCACGAAAGCGUGGGGAUCAAACAGG
RNAcentral lists this ribosomal RNA (253 nucleotides) under uncultured bacterium. RNAcentral describes it as "partial 16S ribosomal RNA". It matches the Rfam family "Bacterial small subunit ribosomal RNA", at positions 524 to 776 of the family's 1533-position model. The record is from RNAcentral.